Molecule: long non-coding RNA, 666 nt
Organism: Rhipicephalus sanguineus (brown dog tick)
Lineage: Eukaryota; Metazoa; Arthropoda; Arachnida; Ixodida; Ixodidae
Exons: 3
Source: RefSeq, a predicted model, not a curated record
UGUUCAUGCGCGUCUUCGGUGGUGUUGACGCCGGCUCCGUGCACGAAGUGACGCUUGGAGAGCGGAAUAUUCAUGGAGCUGCGGACACGGACAACGGGCGCCAGUUAACGAAUCCCGGAUCACUUCUCCCGCCUCUUCACUCCAGUUGACAGCCACACUCGGGGAAACGAAGGUGCCGCUCUGGUGUGGCGCCUCACCGCGCGUGAUGGGAAAAUCAACAGCGGCGUUCGCCCUGUCAACGAGGCAGUCGGUCCUACAUUUCUUUUGGUUGGACAAGACGACGUAGGAAAAGAGAUACCGUUUUUCAUGGUGCUCACGCUGAACAGGAGCGACAACCUAGCAAGUCACAAGUCUGAUGCUUCCAGCCGUCACCACUUUUUGAUUUAUUCUUAAUCAUAAGGAAUAAAGAUUGAGACAUGAUGCCCAUUUCUGCAGUUUAUUUUGCACUAUAUGACACUAUGCACAUCAGUCACACAUUUUAGUUGGCUAUAGUAUACUGAUAGAAGCAUGUAAAUGGGGAAUACCCAAACUUCUUAAUUGGAAAUCAAACACCGUCUUUUCGUGCUUUCUAUAUAACUUUGCUGGAAAAUACGUGUUGUUUUGACGAGUUUUAUUAAAAUAACGCUAAAACUGAACUAUUCUUUUUUUUUUGCAGUCGCUGGGCAG